AAUAAGUUAAUAUCAAUCUUCUAAAUUGAUUUGAGGGUAACCUGCUUAUUU
RNAcentral lists this transfer RNA (51 nucleotides) under Physaloptera rara. RNAcentral describes it as "tRNA-Ser". The record is from RNAcentral. Lineage: Eukaryota; Metazoa; Nematoda; Chromadorea; Rhabditida; Physalopteridae.